UACGGAGGGUGCGAGCGUUGUCCGGAAUCACUGGGCGUAAAGGGCGCGUAGGCGGCCUGAUAAGUAGGGGGUGAAAUCCUGCGGCUUAACCGCAGGGCUGCCUUCUAAACUGUCAGGCUUGAGCACAGUAGAGGCAGGUGGAAUUCCCGGUGUGGCGGUGGAAUGCGUAGAGAUCGGGAAGAACAUCAGUGGCGAAGGCGGCCUGCUGGGCUGUUGCUGACGCUGAGGCGCGACAGCGUGGGGAGCAAACAGG
RNAcentral lists this ribosomal RNA (253 nucleotides) under uncultured bacterium. RNAcentral's name for it is "partial 16S ribosomal RNA". It matches the Rfam family "Bacterial small subunit ribosomal RNA", at positions 524 to 776 of the family's 1533-position model. The record is from RNAcentral.